This 447-nucleotide ribosomal RNA is filed under the name uncultured bacterium. RNAcentral describes it as "bacterial SSU rRNA". It matches the Rfam family "Bacterial small subunit ribosomal RNA", at positions 331 to 795 of the family's 1533-position model. The record is from RNAcentral.
CCAGACUCCUACGGGAGGCAGCAGUGGGGAAUAUUGCACAAUGGGGGGAACCCUGAUGCAGCAACGCCGCGUGGGUGAAGAAGUACUCCGGUAUGUAAAGCCCUGUCAGCAGGGAAGAAAAUGACGGUACCUGACCAAGAAGCCCCGGCUAACUCCGUGCCAGCAGCCGCGGUAAUACGGAGGGUGCGAGCGUUAAUCGGAAUUACUGGGCGUAAAGCGCUCGUAGGCGGUAUGUCAAGUCAAGGGUGAAAUCCCCGCGCUCAACGUGGGAACUGCCUUUGAAACUGGCAAACUGGAGUGUGUGAGAGGAUAGUGGAAUUCCAGGUGUAGGAGUGAAAUCCGUAGAUAUCUGGAGGAACAUCAGUGGCGAAGGCGACUAUCUGGCGCAUAACUGACGCUGAGGAGCGAAAGCGUGGGUAGCAAACAGGAUUAGAUACCCCUGUAUCC